This is a non-coding RNA of Caenorhabditis elegans, 21 nucleotides long. Lineage: Eukaryota; Metazoa; Nematoda; Chromadorea; Rhabditida; Rhabditidae. The record is from Ensembl.
UAAUUUUGUAGGACUUCAAUU